This is a small nucleolar RNA of Malurus melanocephalus (red-backed fairy wren), 90 nucleotides long. RefSeq annotates it as small nucleolar RNA SNORD116. The record is from RefSeq and is a predicted model, not a curated record. The transcript has a single exon. Lineage: Eukaryota; Metazoa; Chordata; Aves; Passeriformes; Maluridae.
CAAUUGUAAAUGGAUACGUAGAAAGCAUUUUUGGGAAGCUGAGACAUAAAUGAGUACAAAAUACUGUCAUUUUUAUUUUUAAUGAGGUUG